UAGCUUGCUAUGGGGACAAUUAGUGGCAGACGGGUGAGUAAUGCAUAGGAAUCUACCUAGUAGUAUAGGAUAGCCACUAGAAGUGGUGGGUAAUACUGUAUAAUCCCUGCGGGGGAAAGAUUUAUCGCUACAUGAUGAGCCUAUGUUAGAUUAGCUAGUUGGUGGGGUAAUGGCCUACCAAGGCAGUGAUCUAUAGCUGGUCUGAGAGGAUGAUCAGCCACACUGGAACUGAGACACGGUCCAGACUCCUACGGGAGGCAGCAGUGGGGAAUAUUGGACAAUGGGCGCAAGCCUGAUCCAGCUAUGCCGCGUGAGUGAGGAAGGCCUUAGGGUUGUAAAACUCUUUCAGUGGGGAAGAUAAUGACGGUACCCACAGAAGAAGUCCCGGCAAACUCCGUGCCAGCAGCCGCGGUAAUACGGAGGGGGCAAGCGUUGUUCGGAAUUAUUGGGCGUAAAGGGCAUGUAGGUGGUUUGGUAAGUUAAAGGUGAAAUGCCAGGGCUUAACCCUGGAGCUGCUUUUAAUACUGCCAGACUGGAGUCCGGGAGA
Molecule: ribosomal RNA, 547 nt
Filed under: Anaplasma bovis
Lineage: Bacteria; Pseudomonadati; Pseudomonadota; Alphaproteobacteria; Rickettsiales; Anaplasmataceae
Description: bacterial SSU rRNA
Rfam family: Bacterial small subunit ribosomal RNA
Source: RNAcentral